This 654-nucleotide long non-coding RNA is filed under the name Trifolium pratense (red clover). RNAcentral describes it as "long non-coding RNA (TPRA_LNC014130)". The record is from RNAcentral. Lineage: Eukaryota; Viridiplantae; Streptophyta; Magnoliopsida; Fabales; Fabaceae.
CAGCAUUGCUAUUUACAGCGAAUUCAAAUAUCACGAAUUCAUCACAACAAUAGGCGCACCAAUCAAAAUACACGUUUCUGCAUAAUAUACGGAAGUUGCAUAAUACAUACAAUACAAGGUUAAAUAUGGAUGAUUUCUUUUGUAAAAAAAAUUGGAUGAUAUAUAUUGUCAAAAAAAAAAAGAUGAAUUAAAUAUAAUUUUAUUAGUCCACAAAUCUUAAUUCAACUGACAGAAAUGUUGAAAUUGCUAGUGUCGGACGUCAAUAAAAAAAAUAUAAUUUUAUUAAAAGCCAAAAGUGUAAGAUAAAAGUAACGACAUGUUGAUUUAACAACAGAGACUAAAAUUAUUCAAAACUAAAAUUAAGUAACAGAACAUCCCGUGAACUUAUUUCAGUUGAUAUAGGAUAUUGUAUUAUAUAUGUAAGAAGCCGGAGUUUGAGACCCGAUCAUCUCAGAAAAUUGUAAAAAUCAAAUUGAUUCUUAAUAAAAAAAAAAAUACUCAACUCAUAAACUUGUCUUCAUGAAGUAUGCUUUGGAUUUACCAAAAAAAGAAGUAUGCUUUGACCCCAUCUACCGCCCACUAAAAUGCAAGUACUCAAUAAAUAACCACUUCGUGAUUAUGUCGUGAAAAGCUUUUCGCGAUAACAAGCAUUUU